GGCUCAGGAUGAACGCGGCNGGCGUGCUUAAUACAUGCAAGUCGAACGGAGAGUGACUGAGUUCGCUUGGACACUUUUAGUGGCGAACGGGUGAGUAACACGUUGGUGACCUGCCCCGAAGAGGGGGAUAACAGUUCGAAAGGACUGCUAAUACCCCAUGAAGUUGCGUUGAUUAGAAAGAUGCAACGAAAGGGAGAAAUCCCGCUACGGGAGGGGCCUGCGUCCCAUCAGCUAGUUGGUAGGGUAAAGGCCUACCAAGGCGACGACGGGUAGGGGGCCUGAGAGGGUGACCCCCCACAUUGGCACUGAAACACGGGCCAAACACCUACGGGUGGCAGCAGUAGGGAAUAUUGCACAAUGGGCGAAAGCCUGAUGCAGCAACGUCGCGUGCGCGAUGAAGGCCUUCGGGUCGUAAAGCGCUUUUCGGGGAGAGGAGGAAGGACCGUAUCCCCGGAAUAAGUCUCGGCUAACUACGUGCCAGCAGCCGCGGUAAAACGUAGGAGGCAAGCGUUAUCCGAAUUCACUGGGCGUAAAGCGCGUGCAGGCGGCAAGGUAAGUUGGAUGUAAAAUCUCCCGGCUCAACUGGGAGGGGACGUUCAAAACUACCUGGCUAGAGGACGGUAGAGGAAGGUGGAAUUCCCGGUGUAGUGGUGAAAUGCGUAGAUAUCGGGAGGAACACCCGUGGCGAAAGCGGCCUUCUGGACCGUACCUGACGCUCAGACGCGAAAGCUAGGGGAGCAAACGGGAUUAGAAACCCCGGUAGUCCUAGCUGUAAACGAUGUAGACUGGGUGUGGGAAGGGUAAAAGCUUUCCGUGCCGAAGCUAACGCGAUAAGUCUACCGCCUGGGGACUACGGCCCGCAGGUUAAAACUCAAAU
RNAcentral lists this ribosomal RNA (877 nucleotides) under uncultured bacterium. RNAcentral describes it as "bacterial SSU rRNA". It matches the Rfam family "Bacterial small subunit ribosomal RNA", at positions 21 to 906 of the family's 1533-position model. The record is from RNAcentral.